GUCAAGUCCUCAUGGCCUUUAUGCCCAGGGCUGCACACGUGCUACAAUGGCGCGAACAAAGGGAAGCGAGCCCGCGAGGGGGAGCCAAUCCCAAAAAACGCGCCCCAGUUCAGAUCGGAGGCUGCAACUCGCCUCCGUGAAGCCGGAAUCGCUAGUAAUCGCGGGUCAGCAACACCGCGGUGAAUGUGUUCCUGAGCCUU
This 200-nucleotide ribosomal RNA is filed under the name uncultured organism. Its description in RNAcentral is "partial small subunit ribosomal RNA". It matches the Rfam family "Bacterial small subunit ribosomal RNA", at positions 1184 to 1382 of the family's 1533-position model. The record is from RNAcentral.